CUUUGCGAGAGGAGAGGUUCAUUCACUAGCGGGGCCACCGCACCAACAACACAAGUCUUCAGCAGACGGCUCGACACAGUUCACAGUUCACAUCGCGCCCGCCUGCCAGCCAGCCACAGCCAGCCAACAGACCGAAUCGCGAACGCCUACCCUUCUUUCUUUCCUCGCGACAUUUUUGGGCGACCGUGCAAAAAGAGCACCCAGUGAUUGUAUGCAACAUUCCUCGUGAUUCGCUUGAAAGGGCCAGACACGCGCUUUGCCUAGCCUACAGCAGACGGAUUUAUUCAUCAUACAACGUGGGCUGAGGAUCACUUACCUUCGUAGUUUCCCCGAUUACGCACUCAGUUACUAUAAGGACAGUCGACCGAGGUGUGCUCUUUUGAUUCGAUCUGGACAAAUCUACAGUAGUGUUCAGCAGGUGUAGCUCUCACAUCGGUUAACAUUACGUAACAACCAACAGCAACGACUACAACGACUGCUGUCAUCAGCAAACUCGCUCGGUAUCGUCAUCACAACGCUCAGCACCAAUAGCAUCGUCAGCAUCAGCUGCAGCAGCAGUAUAUUAGCAGCAAAAAUCACUGACCGACCGUCUCGACGUAAGUCUUGUUCUGUUUCUAAUACCAAGGAGAACUUUCCGAAGGACCGAAAGAAUUAUUUGUUUUACCAGAUCUGCUAAUUGCAAAUCCCCAACAACAACUGCAACGAUAUACGUCAGUGGAAACGCAUUGAAUCCUCAAUAGCGGCAUCAUCACUUGAGCAAUAACAACAACAACAACAACAACAACAACAACAACAACAGUAACAGUAACAACCGACAGUGAAUAAAAUACCUUCACCCACAACUACUUCCAAGAUGACCGUGUGCAACAAACAGGAGAAGGACUUGGCCUACAAGAGCCUCAACCACAAGAAGAGCAACGUCAAGUGUGUGGUGGUGGGGGACGCCAUGGUGGGGAAGACCAGUCUGGCCA
Long non-coding RNA from Aplysia californica (California sea hare), 971 nucleotides. RefSeq lists it as uncharacterized. The record is from RefSeq and is a predicted model, not a curated record. Lineage: Eukaryota; Metazoa; Mollusca; Gastropoda; Aplysiida; Aplysiidae. The transcript has 2 exons.